Molecule: microRNA precursor, 57 nt
Filed under: Rattus norvegicus (Norway rat)
Lineage: Eukaryota; Metazoa; Chordata; Mammalia; Rodentia; Muridae
Description: Rno-Mir-450-P3b_pre stem-loop
Source: RNAcentral
UUUUGCAGUAUGUUCCUGUAUAAGAACAUAAGCGUAUUGGGAACAUUUGGCAUACAU